Molecule: long non-coding RNA, 609 nt
Organism: Bubalus bubalis (water buffalo)
Lineage: Eukaryota; Metazoa; Chordata; Mammalia; Artiodactyla; Bovidae
Exons: 2
Source: RefSeq, a predicted model, not a curated record
UGGUGGUGGCUUAUUAGUUCCGUAUUCCUUAUCAGGAUCUCCUGUCAUAAAACAACUCUUGUAAAUGGUUACCAUGGUGCCUGGCCAGGGUGGGCGGUUUCAAUCAGUGUGCUUCCCCUAACAAUUUCAUGAGUGGUAAAUGAAAUGUUCCUCGAAGAGAGAGAUGAUAGAGGAAGACACAGGAAAAGCACAACCGAAUCGCCAAACGUCACCCGCAUUACAAAACAGGAGGAAUUUUCAGAAGCAAUGAGAGAGACUAGCCCAACCCAGCUCUCCCUCAGAUCCUGCGAGUCUUCAAGAACAGACUAGGCGUGCCAGUGAUCUAGGCUGGGGGCCAGCAACAAUGCAGCUAUGACGAAGCACAUCAGAUGGUCGAUGCGCCCAGCCAGAGACCUGAGGACCCUCCUGGGGUUGCCCCUCUCUGGAAGUUUGAAGCUAUCAGGACAGGUCUGCCUUCUUGAAAUGUACAAAUGUCACCAGCCGGGAGUGGCAGAUGCCCAGAGGCGUCUGGAAACAGAUUUCCAUCUGGUAAUGGGUUAGGCUUCCUGGGACACAGAUUAGAAUAGUUUGAAAUAAAGCCACGGAAGUACCGGCUUGGCUUUUCACAUA